RNAcentral lists this RNase P RNA (331 nucleotides) under Wenyingzhuangia fucanilytica. RNAcentral's name for it is "Bacterial RNase P class A". It matches the Rfam family "Bacterial RNase P class A". From Rfam's summary of the family: Ribonuclease P (RNase P) is a ubiquitous endoribonuclease, found in archaea, bacteria and eukarya as well as chloroplasts and mitochondria. Its best characterised activity is the generation of mature 5'-ends of tRNAs by cleaving the 5'-leader elements of precursor-tRNAs. Lineage: Bacteria; Pseudomonadati; Bacteroidota; Flavobacteriia; Flavobacteriales; Flavobacteriaceae. The record is from Rfam by way of RNAcentral.
ACAGUAGGUUGUCUUAUCGCCGCGUAUUUAUACGAGGAGGAAAGUCCGAGCACCAUAGAACAGCAUAGCGGAUAACAUCCGUCGCCUUAAACUAGUUUAAGGUAGGACAAGUGCAACAGAAAGCAAGUACAGUUCGGCUGUAGUGAAACCAGGUAAACUCUAUGCGGUACAAUGCCAUGUAUAUUGGAGACCUUUUAAUAGGUAAGAGUUGUUCGCUCAAUUCCAAGGGGUAGGCAGAUUGAGAUUGUUGGUAACAGCAAUUCUAGAUAAAUGAUAAGAAGCUUGAACUUGUUUCAAGUUACAGAACUCGGCUUAUAAACCUACUUUUAAU